UCGGUCUUUAACAAUAUAAACGGGCACUUUAUAUGGCCAAGUCAGAUUAUUUAUUUAUUAUAAAACAAACUAUAACCCCUAAUAAUUUAAAAUGUACAACAUCCAAUCAGUUAGGCAUAAACAUUCAAGUAUUGGCGUAAAAUACGAAAGCUAACUCUAAAGAUCGAAUAAAUCAUAAUAAUAUGCUUAUUAAUUAUGCUUCAAGGCUUUCACGUUAAUUUAUUAAUUUGCCAAAUAUGCAAA
Molecule: long non-coding RNA, 243 nt
Filed under: Solanum tuberosum (potato)
Lineage: Eukaryota; Viridiplantae; Streptophyta; Magnoliopsida; Solanales; Solanaceae
Description: long non-coding RNA (STUB_LNC008999)
Source: RNAcentral